RNAcentral lists this transfer RNA (87 nucleotides) under Pullulanibacillus pueri. RNAcentral describes it as "tRNA-Leu". It matches the Rfam family "tRNA". Rfam says of the family: Transfer RNA (tRNA) molecules are approximately 80 nucleotides in length. Their secondary structure includes four short double-helical elements and three loops (D, anti-codon, and T loops). The record is from RNAcentral. Lineage: Bacteria; Bacillati; Bacillota; Bacilli; Caryophanales; Sporolactobacillaceae.
GCGGAUGUGGCGGAAUUGGCAGACGCGCUAGGUUCAGGGUCUAGUGGCUUUACAGCCGUGGGGGUUCGAGUCCCUUCAUCCGCACCA